AACUCUCAACCCCACUAUUUUGUAAUGAAAUAGGUCGCGGGCUUGGUUUAUGGUUGUUGCUGGCUUUACCGUCAGCUCGACUGAAAUAUACGAGCUACCCAAUUCAACUUUGAAUUAGACGGUUUGACUCGGCGUAAUAAUCUAUUUCGCUGAGGACGUCUUCAUCAAAUUUAAUGAUAGUGGUGCUUCUAACGCAUUAGCAAUUUAAGC
RNAcentral lists this unclassified non-coding RNA (210 nucleotides) under Buckleyzyma salicina. RNAcentral describes it as "partial internal transcribed spacer 2". Lineage: Eukaryota; Fungi; Basidiomycota; Cystobasidiomycetes; Buckleyzymales; Buckleyzymaceae. The record is from RNAcentral.